CUAAACUAACUUAGAACACAACUCUCAGCAACGGAUAUCUUGGCUCUUGCAACGAUGAAGAACGCAGCGAAAUGCGAUACGUAGUGUGAAUUGCAGAAUUCCGCGAAUCAUCGAGUUUUUGAACGCAAGUUGCGCCCGAGGCUUGUCCAAGG
This 152-nucleotide ribosomal RNA is filed under the name Ptychostomum compactum. RNAcentral's name for it is "5.8S ribosomal RNA". The stretch from base 20 to 152 matches the Rfam family "5.8S ribosomal RNA", at positions 1 to 134 of the family's 154-position model. Rfam says of the family: 5.8S ribosomal RNA (5.8S rRNA) is a component of the large subunit of the eukaryotic ribosome. It is transcribed by RNA polymerase I as part of the 45S precursor that also contains 18S and 28S rRNA. Functionally, it is thought that 5.8S rRNA may be involved in ribosome translocation. Lineage: Eukaryota; Viridiplantae; Streptophyta; Bryopsida; Bryales; Bryaceae. The record is from RNAcentral.